GCUUGAUUCUUUAAUUUUGGCUGGUACGGUUCCUUCCGUUCUGUUCCGCCUUGGCGCCCUUGGCCGCGGGGGCAAUGUUUUUGUUUUCGUUCUACGUUCAGGUGUUGGGUGGCGACGUAUUAACCGUCGAUAACCAGCUGAAGCAGCUCAAGUUCUCGAGUGGAACGAGGUUGACCGUGCGCAGUGGCAGCCGUUGACAACAAAAACAAUGUAUGCACUCAGCUUCGCCGGAUGAGUGCCGGCGUCGAUCGCGAACCGCCAGAGCCGCCAAAUACCUCUCGUACAUCUCCAAGAACACCAAGAACAGGAGGUAUUCAUAAAGGUCUGAACCACGCGAGGAUCGUCUCGAAGCAUGGUAGCCUCAACAGACGCUUGCCGCCACACGCGAGGAGAAAGCAGGAGGCCCGAAGUUUGAAUGUGAAGAGGAGGUGCGAAGAGCUGGCCCUCACUUUUUCAAGGCAGCCGCAGAACACUACGAGCCCCGAAUCACUGCCGCGGCUGACUCACGCGGAUGCUGUGCUGCACCCUGCACUGCACAUGGUUCGAAGCACACUUCAGGGGACCAGUGCAUGCCCCUGAUGCAUCGUUGCG
Long non-coding RNA from Ixodes scapularis (black-legged tick), 591 nucleotides. RefSeq lists it as uncharacterized. The transcript is spliced from 3 exons. Lineage: Eukaryota; Metazoa; Arthropoda; Arachnida; Ixodida; Ixodidae. The record is from RefSeq and is a predicted model, not a curated record.